CUGAGAAACCCAAAAGAUCGAAUGGGGAGAUUCAUCGUCAGCGGCGUUGGCUUCCGUGCGGUGUUGCGAUGUCGCGGGGCUUCGGUUCAGCGGCACGCAUCGCUGCGGUAUGUCCGACGACGUCGGCGUGCACUUCUCCCCUAGUAGGACGUCGCGACCCGUUGGGUGCCGGCCUACGGCCCGGUUGGUCGACUGUCGCGUUUGCGUUCACGCGUCGACGCGGCAGACCACCGGUCGCCCGGCCGGCUGCCCGGCGGUAUAGAACGCAUUUAAAUAAGGUAUUGGGCCGCACGCUUUUUGUCGUGCGUCCUGGCUCGUCGGCAGGCUCGCCUCUCACGGAUUUACGGACCUAGCGCCGUUGCCGGGUGCUUGGCGCGGCCGUUAGUCGACGAUGUCCUCGGACCGGCUCUCUUACCCGUCGGCGACGCUACUGCUUUGGGUACUUUCAGGACCCGUCUUGAAACACGGACCAAGGAGUCUAACAUGUGCGCGAGUCAUUGGGAUUUGAUAAAGCCUAAAGGCGCAAUGAAAGUGAAGGUCGGCCCUAGCGUCGACCGAGGGAGGAUGGCUCGCGUCACGAUGCGAGCCCGCACUCCCGGGGCGUCUCGUGCUCAUUGCGAGCAGAGGCGCACCCAGAGCGUACACGUUGGGACCCGAAAGAUGGUGAACUAUGCCUGGUCAGGACGAAGUCAGGGGAAACCCUGAUGGAGGUCCGUAGCGAUUCUGACGUGCAAAUCGAUCGUCGGAACUGGGUAUAGGGGCGAAAGACUAAUCGAACCAUCUAGUAGCUGGUUCCCUCCGAAG
RNAcentral lists this ribosomal RNA (804 nucleotides) under Glyphomerus sp. 1339_01. Its description in RNAcentral is "eukaryotic LSU rRNA". It matches the Rfam family "Eukaryotic large subunit ribosomal RNA", at positions 421 to 966 of the family's 3401-position model. The record is from RNAcentral. Lineage: Eukaryota; Metazoa; Arthropoda; Insecta; Hymenoptera; Torymidae.